RNAcentral lists this ribosomal RNA (437 nucleotides) under Legionella sp. Its description in RNAcentral is "bacterial SSU rRNA". It matches the Rfam family "Bacterial small subunit ribosomal RNA", at positions 394 to 826 of the family's 1533-position model. The record is from RNAcentral. Lineage: Bacteria; Pseudomonadati; Pseudomonadota; Gammaproteobacteria; Legionellales; Legionellaceae.
AUGCCCGUGUGUGAGAAGGCCUGAGGGUUGUAAGCACUUUCAGUGGGGAGGAGGAUAGCAUGGUUAAGAGCUGAGCUAUUGGACGUUACCUACAGAAGAAGCACCGGCUAACUCCGUGCCAGCAGCCGCGGUAAUACGGAGGGUGCGAGCGUUAAUCGGAAUUACUGGGCGUAAAGGGUGCGUAGGUGGUUAAAUAAGUUAGAUGUAAAAACCCUGGGCUUAACCUAGGACUGAGAUUUAAUACUGUUUAACUAGAGUAUGGGAGAGGGUAGUGGAAUUUCCGGUGUAGCGGUGAAAUGCGUAGAGAUCGGAAGGAACACCAGUGGCGAAGGCGGCUACCUGGCCUAAUACUGACACUGAGGCACGAAAGCGUGGGGAGCAAACAGGAUUAGAUACCCUGGUAGUCCACGCUGUAAACGAUGUCAACUAGCCGUUGG